GAUGGACUUCAGAAUGCAAGUUUUCCCCAUUCACAUAGGAUGUUUUUAUCUAUUUUGUGGCUGUAUUAUAUUUUUCUUAUAUUACAUGAUAUACUGACUAGCACAUACUUCCAGCAAGCUGUGAUUUGAAUUGGUCAUGGUGCCUGGAAUCAGCGUUUAUCAUUGAAAUGCUGCACAUUAAGAGAUUAACGUCCUUGGCUGCUGGAGGUGUAACUCUGCCUCCAGCAGCAUCAGGGCAAAGUUGGCUAAUGUUAAGUAGUUGCAAAAUUGGUGUCUGGUGCUAGAUAGCCAACAGCAUGCCCCAUCCCUGUCCACCCCUCAGUCUGUCGUCUCUAGAGAUGGCUCUGGGGAUUGACACAACUCUACAGCAGUGACUUCUGUCCAGUUUUUGUCAGGCAUGUAAGGAAAGUACAUAAAACAAAUUAGUCCUUACUUUUGUAUCUUUUUGAGUGUGCUGGAAUUUCAAUGAAAUUCCAACACUUUUACUUAUAUA
Non-coding RNA from Pelobates cultripes (western spadefoot toad), 493 nucleotides. The record is from the annotation of a GenBank genome assembly. Lineage: Eukaryota; Metazoa; Chordata; Amphibia; Anura; Pelobatidae.